GAUGAAGAACGCAGCGAAAUGCGAUAAUUAAUGUGAAUUGCAGAAUUUAGUGAAUCAUCGAAUCUUUGAACGCACAUUGCGCCCUUUGGUAUUCCUUAGGGCAUGCCUGUUCGAGCGUCAUUUAAACCUUCAAGCUCAGCUUGGUGUUGGGUGACUGUCCGCUUCACCGCGGACUCGCCUCAAAAUUAUUGGCGGCCGGUACAUUGGCUUCGAGCGCAGCAGAAACGCGAACUCGGGCCCGUCGUAUUGGCUCCCAGAAGCUAUCUUCACAAUUUUGACCUCGGAUCAGGUAGGGAUACCCGCUGAACUUAAGCAUAUCAAUAAGCGGAGGA
RNAcentral lists this unclassified non-coding RNA (332 nucleotides) under soil metagenome. RNAcentral describes it as "partial contains 5.8S ribosomal RNA, internal transcribed spacer 2, and large subunit ribosomal RNA". The stretch from base 1 to 120 matches the Rfam family "5.8S ribosomal RNA", at positions 35 to 154 of the family's 154-position model. The record is from RNAcentral.